AGAGUUUGAUCAUGGCUCAGAACGAACGCUGGCGGCGUGGAUAAGACAUGCAAGUCGAGCGCUGAUUACAGGGUAGCAAUAUUCUGUAGUCGGAGCGGCGCAAGGGUGCGUAACACGUGGGUAAUCUGCCAUGAAGUUUGGAAUAACUCGCUGAAAGGCGAGCUAAUGCCGGAUGUGAAAACUGGGAGGCAUCUCUCGGUUUUCAAAGCUGGGGACCGUAAGGCCUGGCGCUUCAUGAUGAGCCCGCGGCCUAUCAGCUAGUUGGUAAGGUAACGGCUUACCAAGGCUAAGACGGGUAGCUGGUCUGAGAGGACGACCAGCCACACUGGAACUGAGACACGGUCCAGACACCUACGGGUGGCAGCAGUCGAGAAUUUUUCACAAUGGGCGCAAGCCUGAUGGAGCGACGCCGCGUGGGGGAUGAAUGGCUUCGGCCCGUAAACCCCUGUCAUUUGCGAUCAACCGUUGUUAUUUAAAAGAUGACAACCUGAUAGUAGCGAAAGAGGAAGGGACGGCUAACUCUGUGCCAGCAGCCGCGGUAAUACAGAGGUCCCAAGCGUUGUUCGGAUUCACUGGGCGUAAAGGGUGCGUAGGUGGCGAAGUAAGUCGGAUGUGAAAUCUCCGAGCUCAACUCGGAAACUGCAUUGGAAACUACUUUGCUCGAGGGUUGGAGGGGGGACUGGAAUACUUGGUGUAGCAGUGAAAUGCGUAGAUAUCAAGUGGAACACCAGUGGCGAAGGCGAGUCCCUGGACAACUCCUGACACUGAGGCACGAAAGCUAGGGGAGCAAACAGGAUUAGAUACCCUAGUAGUCC
This 815-nucleotide ribosomal RNA is filed under the name uncultured bacterium. Its description in RNAcentral is "bacterial SSU rRNA". It matches the Rfam family "Bacterial small subunit ribosomal RNA", at positions 8 to 796 of the family's 1533-position model. The record is from RNAcentral.